AUUUCCUGUCUUAUAAUACCUUUGUCUGGUUUUUGAAUUCUGGUUAUAACAAUCUCAUAAAAUAUUUUAGGAAAUGACAGUUCCUCCUCUAGUUUAUGAGUUUAUACAGAAUAGAUGUUACUUCUUUCUUACGUACUAGAUGGAAUUUACUAGUGAAAUUGUUUGAGCCUGGAAUUUUCUUUGUAAGAAGUUUAAUUAUGAAUUAAUAUCUUUAACAAAUAUAGGGUGAUUUAAAUUUUCUAUUUUUGCUUGGGUUUAUUUUGGUAAUGUGUGUCUUUCGAGGAAUUCAUCCAUUUUAUCUAAGCUGUCGAAUGCAUCAGCGUGAAGUUGUUCCUGUCAUCACUCAUUACCCUUUCUGUGUCUGCAGGACCUGUUGUGAUGCCCCUUCCUGGUUCCUGACAUUGAUGAUUUGUCCUUCCUUUUCUUGCACCAUCAACCAUCUAAAGGACAUCUCCCCCUUCCGAGGAGCUAUCCUCUCCCCCAGAGAGGUACACAGGAGAACAAACUAUGGAACAAACCACAAGGAAACGGAAGCUUGAGGAGGUGAAGUCCAAGGUCAAAAUCAUAGUGAGUGGCAGAGAAAAUGCCAGGGUCAUGGAGCCGAUGCUUUGGGACUGGUGAUUUGUUUCUCGAAUGAAUUCUUUCUUUUCCACAAAAGGUGGGUGUGAUUAAACACUGAGGUCUUCUCCAUUUGAUAUUUAAAUUUACUUGUAGAAGAUUUUCCCCACAGCCUUUCAGAAACCUGCACUAUGGACAGUGAAGGGAACUUGUGUCCACAAAACAGGCGUCCCUGGAAGCCUGGAGAGAGGAUAGGCUGCUGGAUGUGCCUCAGGACACACAGGCACCACCCGGCGAGGUGGGGGUGACGUGAAUUCGAGUUUCCAGCCCUUCUCAGUGAUCCUUAGAAAAACCAGACGACAUGCCUCAAAGCAAGGAAAAAUAAAACAAGCAAGCAGUGUCUCAGCCCCUGGGCCCACACAUAACCGCCAAACACUUUUCUGUAAAAUAAAACUUGAAUACGUUAAAAGUGUCUGGAAAACACUCCACGGGGAGCCUCCGAAGGAUCCAAAGUGCAUGGUGCUUGCUGGCCGGGGUUGUGCUUGCCCCAGAAAGGCAGAGCUUAUUUGCACGCCUAUUUUAUACCUCUAGGGGUCGUGGUGGCCUUGGGGGACCCGGCAGGUCCUCUUCUUUUUAAAACUGAAGUGAAAUUCACACAACACAAAAUUAACCCUUUUAGAGUGAGCAACUCAAUGGCAUUUAUCACACUCGCAAUGGGCAGCUGCCACCUCUGGCUUCAGGACAUCUUCAUCACCCUGCAAGGAAACCCGGUACCCAUGAGCAGCCGUUCCCGUUCCCCUCUCCCAGCCCGAGGCAGCAGCUAACCCGGCUCCUGUCGCUGUGAAAUGAUCGGUUCUGGGUAUUACAUGUAAAAGGAAUUGUCCGUUCUGUGGUCCUCUGUGUCUGGCGACCCCACUGAGCACUGGGUCUCUAGGUUCACCCGUGCGGUUCCCCACGUCAGUGCCGCGUCCCUUGCUGUGACUGAAACAAAUGAAGGUCCCAUUAUCCAUUCAGCCGUCAAGGAGAGGUCUGGGCUGCUU
Long non-coding RNA from Papio anubis (olive baboon), 1598 nucleotides. The record is from Ensembl. NCBI's taxonomy places the organism in Eukaryota, Metazoa, Chordata, Mammalia, Primates, Cercopithecidae.